Molecule: ribosomal RNA, 492 nt
Filed under: uncultured bacterium
Lineage: Bacteria
Description: partial 16S ribosomal RNA
Rfam family: Bacterial small subunit ribosomal RNA
Source: RNAcentral
AGUGAACGCUGGCGGUAGGCCUAACACAUGCAAGUCGAACGGCAGCACAGUAAGAGCUUGCUCUUACGGGUGGCGAGUGGCGGACGGGUGAGGAAUACAUCGGAAUCUACUUUUUCGUGGGGGAUAACGUAGGGAAACUUACGCUAAUACCUCAUACGACCUACGGGUGAAAGCAGGGGAUCUUCGGACCUUGCGCGAUUGAAUGAGCCGAUGUCGGAUUAGCUAGUUGGCGGGGUAAAGGCCCACCAAGGCGACGAUCCGUAGCUGGUCUGAGAGGAUGAUCAGCCACACUGGAACUGAGACACGGUCCAGACUCCUACGGGAGGCAGCAGUGGGGAAUAUUGGACAAUGGGCGCAAGCCUGAUCCAGCCGUACCGCGUGGGUGAAGAAGGCCUUCGGGUUGUAAAGCCCUUUUGUUGGGAAAGAAAAGCGGCAGGUUAAUACCCCGCUGUUCUGACGGUACCCAAAGAAUAAGCACCGGCUAACUUCGUG